RNAcentral lists this ribosomal RNA (547 nucleotides) under uncultured bacterium. RNAcentral's name for it is "partial 16S ribosomal RNA". It matches the Rfam family "Bacterial small subunit ribosomal RNA", at positions 355 to 895 of the family's 1533-position model. The record is from RNAcentral.
UGGGGAAUUUUGGACAAUGGGCGAAAGCCUGAUCCAGCAAUGCCGCGUGUGUGAAGAAGGCCUUCGGGUUGUAAAGCACUUUUGUCCGGAAAGAAAUCCUUGGCUCUAAUACAGUCGGGGGAUGACGGUACCGGAAGAAUAAGCACCGGCUAACUACGUGCCAGCAGCCGCGGUAAUACGUAGGGUGCAAGCGUUAAUCGGAAUUACUGGGCGUAAAGCGUGCGCAGGCGGUUUGCUAAGACCGAUGUGAAAUCCCCGGGCUCAACCUGGGAACUGCAUUUGUGACUGGCGGGCUAGAGUAUGGCAGAGGGGGGUAGAAUUCCACGUGUAGCAGUGAAAUGCGUAGAGAUGUGGAGGAAUACCGAUGGCGAAGGCAGCCCCCUGGGCCAAUACUGACGCUCAUGCACGAAAGCGUGGGGAGCAAACAGGAUUAGAUACCCUGGUAGUCCACGCCCUAAACGAUGUCAACUAGUUGUCGGGUCUUCAUUGACUUGGUAACGUAGCUAACGCGUGAAGUUGACCGCCUGGGGAGUACGGUCGCAAGAUU